AACGAACGCUGGCGGCAGGCCUCAAACAUGCAAGUCUAGGGGGUGUAGCAAUACAUCACCGGCGGACGGGUGCGUAACGCGUGGGAAUAUACCUAUUGGUUCGGAACAACUGAGGGAAACUUCAGCUAAUACCGGAUACGUCCUUACGGAGAAAGAUUUAUCGCCAAUAGAUUAGCCCGCGUUCGAUUAGCUAGUUGGUGGGGUAACGGCCCACCAAGGCGACGAUCGAUAGCUGUUCUGAGAGGAAGAUCAGCCACACUGGGACUGAGACACGGCCCAGACUCCUACGGGAGGCAGCAGUUGGGAAUCUUGGACAAUGGGGGAAACCCUGAUCCAGCCAUGCCGCGUGAGUGAUGAAGGCCUUCGGUUGUAAACUCUUUCGCGCACGACGAUAAUGACGGUAGUGCGAGAAGAAGCUCCGGCUAACUUCGUGCCAGCAGCCGCGGUAAU
Molecule: ribosomal RNA, 450 nt
Filed under: uncultured bacterium
Lineage: Bacteria
Description: bacterial SSU rRNA
Rfam family: Bacterial small subunit ribosomal RNA
Source: RNAcentral